AGCUUUGCUCAGUGGCAGUAUCAUAGCCAAUGAGGUUUAUCCGAGGUGCGAUUAUUGCUAAUUGAAAACUUAAAGAAUUCCUGGUCAUGUCACUUCCCCCUUUAUGGUGCUGAGUUUAAAAUCAUCCAAAGCUUAUGUAAUUAAUUAGGUUA
RNAcentral lists this small nuclear RNA (152 nucleotides) under Vicugna pacos (alpaca). RNAcentral's name for it is "U4 spliceosomal RNA (ENSVPAG00000016513.1)". It matches the Rfam family "U4 spliceosomal RNA". Rfam says of the family: U4 small nuclear RNA (U4 snRNA) is a component of the major U2-dependent spliceosome. The structure of U4 snRNA from yeast and human has been reported. U4 snRNA presents a k-turn RNA motif in the 5p-SL related to recognition of Snu13 protein. Lineage: Eukaryota; Metazoa; Chordata; Mammalia; Artiodactyla; Camelidae. The record is from RNAcentral.